AUAAGACAUAAUUUCUUAAAACAGCAGAGCAAAUAUAAGUGACGUUGUCUUAAAUCAAGAUACCAAAACAUUCUCAUUAAAUAUAUAUUUUUUAUUCCACAAGCAAGCAUGUGGUAAGAAAGCAUGUUCUUUGUUGUUUUGCCGUUCUCAUCUGGUCGUUGUAUUAUGUUGUCUUUUGUACAGACGAGCCUACUGACAUCUUUAUAUGUCAGAUAAUGGAUGAGGCAGCAGGUUCUGUCAGGUUUAGAUGACCUACAAUGGAAAUCUUAAUAAAACAAAUAAAUAAACAACUGUUGUUUAAUGGCAUUCUUAAAUUGAGAAGUGGUACAUAUGUCUUACUCUUAAAAUGAGACGAAUGAUCUUGUUGCUCCGCUG
Molecule: non-coding RNA, 375 nt
Organism: Xyrichtys novacula (pearly razorfish)
Lineage: Eukaryota; Metazoa; Chordata; Actinopteri; Labriformes; Labridae
Source: the annotation of a GenBank genome assembly